RNAcentral lists this ribosomal RNA (492 nucleotides) under marine bacterium SIMO-2516. RNAcentral describes it as "bacterial SSU rRNA". It matches the Rfam family "Bacterial small subunit ribosomal RNA", at positions 154 to 629 of the family's 1533-position model. The record is from RNAcentral.
AAACGAUGGCUAAUACCGCAUAAUCUCCUGUCUUUUACGAGNUGGGAGCAAAGAGGGGGACCUUCGGGCCUCUCGCGCUAAGAUUGGCCCAGGUGGGAUAGCUAGUAGGUGGGGUAACGGCUCACCUAGGCGACGAUCCCUAGCUGGUCUGAGAGGAUGAUCAGCCACACUGGAACUGAGACACGGUCCAGACUCCUACGGGAGGCAGCAGUGGGGAAUAUUGCACAAUGGGGGAAACCCUGAUGCAGCCAUGCCGCGUGUGUGAAGAAGGCCUUCGGGUUGUAAAGCACUUUCAGUCGUGAGGAAGGCGGUAUCGUUAACAGCGGUACCGUUUGACGUUAGCGACAGAAGAAGCACCGGCUAACUCCGUGCCAGCAGCCGCGGUAAUACGGAGGGUGCGAGCGUUAAUCGGAAUUACUGGGCGUAAGCGCAUGCAGGCGGCUUGUUAAGCCAGAUGUGAAAGCCCGGGGCUCAACCUCGGAAUCGCAUUUG